This 547-nucleotide ribosomal RNA is filed under the name uncultured Glomeromycotina. Its description in RNAcentral is "SSU rRNA". It matches the Rfam family "Eukaryotic small subunit ribosomal RNA", at positions 548 to 1098 of the family's 1831-position model. Lineage: Eukaryota; Fungi; Glomeromycota. The record is from RNAcentral.
UUGGAGGGCAAGUCUGGUGCCAGCAGCCGCGGUAAUUCCAGCUCCAAUAGCGUAUAUUAAAGUUGUUGCAGUUAAAAAGCUCGUAGUUGAAUUUCGGGGUUAGUAGGUUGGUCAUGCCACUGGUAUGUACUGGUCUCACUGAUUCCUCCUUCCUGAUGAGCCGUAAUGCCAUUAAUUUGGUGUUGCGAGGAAUCUGGACUGUUACUUUGAAAAAAUUAGAGUGUUUAAAGCAAGCUAACGCUUGAAUACAUUAGCAUGGAAUAAUGAAAUAGGACGUUCGAUCCUAUUUUGUUGGUUUCUAGGAUUGACGUAAUGAUUAAUAGGGAUAGUUGGGGGCAUUAGUAUUCAAUUGUCAGAGGUGAAAUUCUUGGGUUUAUUGAAGACUAACUACUGCGAAGGCAUUUGCCAAGGAUGUUUUCAUUAAUCAAGAACGAAAGUUAGGGGAUCGAAGACGAUCAGAUACCGUCGUAGUCUUAACCAUAAACUAUGCCGACUAGGGAUCGGAUGAUGUUAUUUUUAAUGACUCAUUCGGCGCCUUACGGGAAAC